GACGAACGCUGGCGGCGUGCUUAACACAUGCAAGUCGAACGAAGAGCGAUGGAAGCUUGCUUCUAUCAAUCUUAGUGGCGAACGGGUGAGUAACGCGUAAUCAACCUGCCCUUCAGAGGGGGACAACAGUUGGAAACGACUGCUAAUACCGCAUACGAUCUGACCUCGGCAUCGAGGAUAGAUGAAAGGUGGCCCCUACAUGUAAGCUAUCACUGAAGGAGGGUAUUGCGUCUGAUUAGCUAGUUGGAGGGGUAACGGCCCACCAAGGCGAUGAUCAGUAGCCGGUCUGGGAGGAUGAACCGCCACAUUGGGACUGAGACACGGCCCAGAAUCCUAAGGGAGGCAGCAGUGGGGAAUCUUCCGGAAUGGACGAAAGUCUGACGGAGCAACGCCGCGUGAGUGAUGACGGCCUUCGGGUUGGAAAGCUCUGUUAAUCGGGACGAAAGGCCUUUUUGCGAAUAGUGAGAAGGAUUGACGGUACCGGAAUAGAAAGCCACGGCUAACUACGUG
This 510-nucleotide ribosomal RNA is filed under the name uncultured bacterium. RNAcentral describes it as "partial 16S ribosomal RNA". It matches the Rfam family "Bacterial small subunit ribosomal RNA", at positions 28 to 507 of the family's 1533-position model. The record is from RNAcentral.